GAUGAACGCUGGCGGCAUGCCUAACACAUGCAAGUCGAGCGAACAUUUCGGUGCUAUCGGCGGACCGGUGAUGAACGCGUGGGAACUUGCCCUUUUCUGCCGAAUAGUCCUGGUAAACUAGGUUUAAUACCGCAUACGCCCUUUUGGGGAAAGAUUUAUCGGAGAAGGAUCAGCCCGCGUUGGAUUGGGGAGUUGGUGGGGUAAUGGCCCACCAAGCCGACGAUCCAUAGCUGGUUGGAGAGAAUGCUCAGCCACACUGGGACUGAGACACGGCCCAGACUCCGACGGGAGGGAGCAGUGGGGAACCUUAGACAAUGGGGGCAAACCUGAUCUAGCCAUGUCGCGGGAGUGAGGCAGGCCUUAGGGUUGUAAAGUCCUCUCAGCUGGGAAGAGAAUGACGGUACCAGCAGAAGAAGCCCCGGCUAACUCCGUG
RNAcentral lists this ribosomal RNA (433 nucleotides) under uncultured bacterium. RNAcentral describes it as "partial 16S ribosomal RNA". It matches the Rfam family "Bacterial small subunit ribosomal RNA", at positions 28 to 507 of the family's 1533-position model. The record is from RNAcentral.